AUUUAUAUAGUUUAAAGAAAACAAUACAUUUUCAUUGUAUAAAUAAUAUAUUAAUAUUUAUAAAUA
This 66-nucleotide transfer RNA is filed under the name Sphagniana ussuriana. RNAcentral describes it as "Metrioptera ussuriana tRNA-Glu". Lineage: Eukaryota; Metazoa; Arthropoda; Insecta; Orthoptera; Tettigoniidae. The record is from RNAcentral.